GAAUAAAAAUCUUUAUUAAUUUAAGUAUUUUAAUUUUAUAUAUUUAAUAAAAAUAUUUUAUAUUUUUUUUAUAGUUAUAGAUAAAAUUUAUAUUAAUUAUAGUUUAAUAGUAUAGAGAUAGAAUUAUUUAAAUAUUUUGAAAAAUUAAUAUAUUUAUAAGAAAAUUUAAAUUAUUGUACCUUGUGUAUCAGGGUUUAUUAAAUAAUAAUUAUACAAUUUAAUUUUCUCGAAUUUAAAAGAGCUAAGAAAUUAUAAAUUUUAUUGUAACAUAAAUAUUUAUAAUAAUUUUUUAGUAAUGAAACGUUAUUCGUUUUUAAAUUUAUCUAGUUUUUUAAGAAAUAAAUUUAAUUUAGUUAUUUAUUAAUUAAUUAUUAUAAUUUUUUAUUUUAAUUAAUAUAAAUAAAUAAUAUUUUAAGGGAUAAGCUUUAAAAUAAAAUAUUAAAAAUAAUUAAAUUAUUAUUAAAAUUUAUAGAAGUGAAAGUAUUUUUUUAUAAUAGUGUUUUAUAACAAAUUUUAAUUUUAAAUAUAAUUUUUAUAUUAUUUUCAAUUUUUUAUUAAAAUUAUUAAUUUAAUAGUUAAAUUAAUGUAAUAAUGAUAAAAUUAGUAUAUAAAUUUAUUUAUAUUGUAAAUUUAUAUUAUAAGAUAUAGAUUAAGUUAAGGAAUUCGGCAAUAUACUUUUUCGCCUGUUUAUUAAAAACAUGUCUUUUUGAUUAUAAUUUAAAGUCUAACCUGCCCUAUGAUUAUAAAAAUUAAAUGGCCGCGAUAUUUUGAUCGUGCAAAGGUAGCAUAAUCAUUAGUUUCUUAAUUAGGAACUGGUAUGAAAGGUUGAACGAGAAAAGGACUGUCUCAAUUUAAAUUAAAUUAGAAUUUUAUUUUUAAGUAAGAAAGCUUAAAUUUAUUUAAAAGACGAGAAGACCCUAUAGAGUUUUAUAUUAAAUUAAUUUAAAAUAAAUUUAAGAAUUAUUAUUUUUUUAUAAUUAGCUUAGUAUUUAAUUGGGGUGAUUAAAAAAUUUAAAUAACUUUUUUUAUUUUUAAACAUUGAUAUAUGAAUAUAUGAUCCAUUUUUUUUAUGAUUAAAAGAUUAAAUUACCUUAGGGAUAACAGCGUAAUUUUUUUUAAGAGUUCUUAUCGAAAAAAAAGUUUGCGACCUCGAUGUUGGAUUAAAAUUAACUUUUGGUGUAGGUGCUAAAACGUUAGGUCUGUUCGACCUUUAAAAUUUUACAUGAUCUGAGUUUAAACCGGUGUGAGCCAGGUUGGUUUCUAUCUUUAAAAUAAAAGAAAUAUUUUAGUACGAAAGGAUUGAAUAUUUUUACAAUGUAAUUAUUUAAGGAUAUUACUAAUUUUAUAUUACUUUGGCAGAAUAGU
This 1365-nucleotide ribosomal RNA is filed under the name Drepanocerus kirbyi. RNAcentral describes it as "16S ribosomal RNA". The stretch from base 1097 to 1255 matches the Rfam family "Archaeal large subunit ribosomal RNA", at positions 2542 to 2701 of the family's 2987-position model. Lineage: Eukaryota; Metazoa; Arthropoda; Insecta; Coleoptera; Scarabaeidae. The record is from RNAcentral.